This 641-nucleotide unclassified non-coding RNA is filed under the name Hevea brasiliensis (rubber tree). Lineage: Eukaryota; Viridiplantae; Streptophyta; Magnoliopsida; Malpighiales; Euphorbiaceae. The record is from RNAcentral.
GAUUGGAACUAGGCAGGAGAAAACAGUCAUCACAACCGGUGAAACUUCUUCACGAACAUCAGAAAUUGAAGAGCCAACGUUAAUUGCUAAUUCACCAAUUGCCCAGCAUGCAUUAUUUGUCACUGAAAAUGAUUCCUUUAGAUCAGAAGCACCCAGUUGUUUGGCUGCAAUUUUAAGAAAGUUGGAUAAAGAGGGACGCAAAUACACUGGGCAAAAUCUUGCUAGGUCUCCUAGUAGUGCAAGAGCACUUUGUCGGACAUCAGGAGCAUCAUCCACACAGCACUGCAGCGCUUUGUGAAACCAAACUCUCAAUGCCGCUACCAAGACCUUCUGCAAGCCCUGAGACUAGGUCCAAAGAGCAGACAACAAACUCUUUGUCAUAUUGAACUCCAGUGGAUGCAGGAUCAACCUUUGCCAAUUGUUGUGACUGGAUGAUGUUUAUGCACCUCCGGAAUACUGGUCCAGCAAAUUGAGAGAAUCCAGUUCCAAGUGCCUGUGCUAUAGAUGCAAAGCACUCUAACAGUGGGAAAAGAUCUUUAUCGGAAUCAGAAAGUUGCUGCCAUUUUGCAAUUAAUGGAGNCCACUUUGCAAUUAAUGGAGGCAUCAGAAUCUCAAGAUAUCUAGGCUGAUUAAGUUUCACU